GGGGAUUUGGGAUGGGCUAAGCCUGAUCCANCCUGCCGCGUGUGUGAAGAAGGCCUUCGGAUUGUAAAGCACUUUAAGUUGGGAGGAAGGGCAAUNAAUUAAUACUUUGCUGGUUUUGACGUUACCGACAGAAUAAGCACCGGCUAACUCUGUGCCAGCAGCCGCCGGUAAUA
Molecule: ribosomal RNA, 173 nt
Filed under: uncultured bacterium
Lineage: Bacteria
Description: partial 16S ribosomal RNA
Rfam family: Bacterial small subunit ribosomal RNA
Source: RNAcentral